Drosophila rhopaloa is the source of this 2766-nucleotide RNA transcript. It is a transcript of the gene named luc7-like protein 3, with no coding region annotated. NCBI's taxonomy places the organism in Eukaryota, Metazoa, Arthropoda, Insecta, Diptera, Drosophilidae. The record is from RefSeq and is a predicted model, not a curated record. The transcript is spliced from 5 exons.
ACCGCGACGGUCACACUGCGCUGCACAAAUUCAAUACCACACGAAUUUUAUUUCGUGAAUUUUAUUGAUUCUUUUUGGCGAAAUUGUCGGUAAAAGAGCUUUCUACACGUGUUCUAAGUGCCUGCACCUGUCCGCAGGCACCAUCCAGGCCAUAAAAGUGGGUGCGGCACCACUGGAAUCGGAAGCAUCACUUGGAUUGGACUACUUGCACCGCUUUGCUCCACCACCCCCUCUACAGUUUACCCCUUGAAUUGAGGAACCCAAAGACAAGGAAGUCUCGGAAAAUGGUGGACGCCGCCAGGCAAAUGCUCGAUGAGCUGAUGGGCAGGAAUCGGAACCUUCAUCCCUCGGAGGCGGGCGCCAAGGUCAACUGGGAGGAUCCAGAGUUCUGCCAAUUCUACAACGUAAAGUUUUGCCCACAUGAUCUGUUUAUAAAUACCCGCGCGGAUCUGGGACCCUGCGCCCGCAUCCACGACGAGGAGGCCCGUCACCUCUAUGAAGAUGCUCGUCCUUCGCAAAGGAAACGCCAAUAUGAAGAUGAGUUCCUCCGGUUUUGCAACGUCAUGCUGCACGAUGUCGAUCGAAAGAUUCAAAAGGGCAAGCAGCGCUUGCUCCUAAUGCAAAGGGAUCAGCCCAAUGCUCCGGCUCCUUUGAGCAGGCACCAGGAGCAACUGGCCAACCUUAAUGCCAGAAUCAAUAAGCUUCUCUCCGAAGCAGAAGAAGCGGGCAUUCGUGGAGACGUGGACCAGGCGCAGGAUCUGAUGACCCUGUGCGAGGAGCUCAAGGAGGAGAAGGAGCAACUGGUUCAGCAGCACGAGGCCAAUCACAAGGCUAUCAGCAGCAUUAGCUUGACCAGGCCACCGGAUGAUGAGCUGCAGCCGGCGCUUAGCAGUCCUGUCUCAAAUCCCAGCGAGGAAACCACAAACACACUUCCUGCGGCCGCCAUUACUAGUGAUGAAGCUCCAGAGGCUGCUCCAAGUUCGGCAGCAGCAGCAGGAGGUACUCCUGCGGAGGAGGGAGAAUCAACUGGAACAGCCAGUGAUGACAAAGCGGAGAAGACCGAAAGCAAGGCGGCUGGCUGGACGCACGAUGCUCUGCCCGAAAAACAGAUGAAGGUCUGCGAGAUCUGCGGGGCCUUCCUGAUCGUUGGGGAUGCACAGCAGCGGAUCGAGGACCAUUUGAUGGGCAAACAGCAUUUGGGGUACUCCAAGCUGCGUAACGCGGUGGCCGAGAUCAACGAUGCGCGGCAAAAGGAGCGCGAGCAAGAAGAUCGACGGCGGCGGGAGUGCCGAGUGCAGCGUUUCCACUCCUACGACAACAGGCGCGAGCCACGCAACGAAUACCGGGAACGGAGUCGCGACUAUGUCCAGAAUCGUCAGCCCUCGGAUCGGCGUCACCAUCACCAUAAGUCGCACCACAGCUCUCAUCACUCAUACUCGCGCAGUGGCGGCGGAGGAGGAGGCGGAGGUGGAGGAGGCGGCGGUGGUGGCAACCGAAGCAACCGGAGCCACCACAAUCACAACCAUAAUCACUACCGCCACGACAGUCGCGAGCGACAUUGCCGCAGUCGGAGUCGCAGCCGCUACUAGAGACCAAAAACAGAAAUAUACCAAGUGAAAAGCAAACACUACAAGUAAAUGACGCAUAGAAUCAUAAGCAGAAAGUCAGGAGCUGUUCCCAAAGCCCGAAAACGAAACUACACAACUAAAUAUGAUCAAGACCAACAGAACACAAUCUCUCGUCCAUCUGCAGUCUUCAGUCUUAUGUGUUCGCAAAUCCAUAAUCCGUAAGCUGCAGCUGCCGUGGCGAAAGACGGCAGCAUCGAGGUACCCCAAAAAAAAAACAAAAAUCAUUAACACAAUUUUCAAAGUAAUAUGUAUAAAAAACAGUAAAAAAGAAACAGUAUCUGAGCUGGCAAGAACGAGUGCGCUGAGGAGCCGCCAACUGAAGAACGUAACCCUAAAAUGUAGAAAUGAAUGAGAGAGAUAUAUAUAAAGAGAGGGAGAGAGAGAGAUAUAUAUAUGUAUAUAUAGAAAGAAGAACCAACCAGGUAACUUCUAUGCCACACCUCCCCACAUAAAUGUUUCUUCACGACAGACAAGGCGGCCGUAAUCCGUAAUCCGUAAUCCGUAAUCCAAAAUCAACGAUCAUCAAUCGGCGAUCAACGAACGAUCAGUGAUCAGAGAAAGAGAGAGAAGAGUGAAAGAGAAGGCAGAAAGAGACACUCGUGUAGAACUGUAUUAGGCAUGAUACAAACGAGGUGAAUUUCAAUUUCUCUCAUCUACUUAUAACUAUAUUAUAUUAUAACUCCACUAUCCAUUACUCCACCCAUCCUUCGAUCUUAAUAUCGUAAUCGAAGACGCGCGAGUUGUCAGUUAAAUAUUGAAUCAUUUGAACCGUACAUAAAUUAAUGUAUGGGCCGCUUAAGUUUAGUGUUCCCACAAAAUGAGCUCCUUAUCCCCUUUCCUGCAAGGACCUCAACACAAAAAAACCUUGAUCCCAUCCACUAAUCCAUCAACCCCGUUUUUUGUUACAACGAUCAACUAGCAAAUUAAUCAAUUGAAUUGAAUUCCCAUCGGGCAAGUAAGAGUUUAAAAAAAUUACGAAAUUAAGUAUAGUGUAACCAAUCAAUAAAAUUUGAUCAAUCGCCUGUAGUCAUGUAAAGAUGUUUUUAAUUAUGAAUUACGAUAUGAGUAAGGAUACAACAUUCUAUCGAGAGACUCGCAAUAAUUUUCUAAUAAAGAUCAAAGUAAAUCCACAAUAUAA